This 255-nucleotide ribosomal RNA is filed under the name uncultured bacterium. RNAcentral's name for it is "partial 16S ribosomal RNA". It matches the Rfam family "Bacterial small subunit ribosomal RNA", at positions 524 to 775 of the family's 1533-position model. The record is from RNAcentral.
UACGUAGGGGGCAAGCGUUACCCGGAUUUACUUUGGGCGUAAAGCGCGUGUAGGCGGCUGGUCAAGUGUGGUGUGAAAUCUCCCGGCUCAACCGGGAAACUGCAUUGCAAACUGGCCUGGCUAGAGUGCAGGAGAGGGCAGCAGAAUUCCCGGUGUAGCGGUGAAAUGCGUAGAUAUCGGGAGGAAUACCAGUGGCGAAGGCGGCUGCCUGGCCUGUAACUGACGCUGAGACGCGAAAGCGUGGGGAGCGAACCG